UGGUUGCUAGGGGCGCUUGGAACGGAAGGUGUGUGGUGAGAGUUCACGUUUUAGAGACGUUGUGAAGCCAUCCCAAGAUUGGCAACUGGGGAACUUGUAUGGAGAGUCGGUCUGUCUGAACCCUGGUUUGAUAGGUCCCUCGCCGACUCCCGCAAUCCCCGCCAGAGCGCGUUGGUCCCAGUCUCUCCUCGCUCUCCACCUGCCCGGCCUUUGGCGGGACUCCCCGCUUUUCCGGCUUCGGCGCGGACUUCCUCCAGGUGCUGUGUGACGGCCUCCAGGACUCGACUUGGGAGGUGAUGAGGUGCGCUCCGGUGCGUCUGAGCGGGCGCCGGGGGCGAGUCCAGUCGCUUCAGCACACCCCUCCCGUGGCUCGUUUGUUGAGAAAAGUUGGUGAGUUCUAGUCGGUAGGAAAGUCUUCAAGUUUCCGCACGGUCAAGAUAAUGAGGACCUUCAAGAAUGUCUUCGAACUUGGCAGAUUAAAUAGGGUCAAAGAAAUCCCACCCCUAUUGUUCCAGACUAAGCCCAUCCCCUGGGGCUUAAUCAAGGCAGAGAAGCUGCCAGAGUAAGGAGGCCAAACCUGUGGGAAAGUGGCAUGGAAUAAGAAUGGCAACUAAGAAGCUAUACUAAGAGUUCAGUGAAAUCCCAAUAAAAUGUCUUGAUGCUGAGGCUCAGAGGAGUCCCUGGUUGGUGAACACGGGUGUGCUGGGAAGGUGACAUGUCCUGGCUCCCCAGGGAGAAGAUAUGGGAGCUCCAUGUUGAAAACCCUCCCAGACCUCAUCCUAUGUGUCCCUUCAUUUGGCUGG
Balaenoptera acutorostrata (minke whale) is the source of this 803-nucleotide long non-coding RNA. RefSeq lists it as uncharacterized. NCBI's taxonomy places the organism in Eukaryota, Metazoa, Chordata, Mammalia, Artiodactyla, Balaenopteridae. The record is from RefSeq and is a predicted model, not a curated record. The transcript has 3 exons.